This 2050-nucleotide ribosomal RNA is filed under the name human gut metagenome. Its description in RNAcentral is "bacterial LSU rRNA". It matches the Rfam family "Bacterial large subunit ribosomal RNA", at positions 1 to 1977 of the family's 2925-position model. The record is from RNAcentral.
UAAAGCUACAAAGAGCUAAUGGGGGAUGCCUUGGUACUGACAGCCGAAGAAGGACGUGUAAAGCUGCGAAAAGCCACGGGGAACUGCUAAAAGGUCUUGAUCCGUGGAAAUCCGAAUGGGGAAACCCUACGAAGUUAAAGCUUCGUAACCCGCAACUGAAUCAAUAGGUUGCGAGGAGGAAAGCCUGUGAACUGAAACAUCUUAGUAACAGGACGAAAAGAAAAUAACCAAAUGAUUCCGAAAGUAGCGGCGAGCGAAAUUGGAAGAGCCUAAACCUUUAAUACGUGAUAGCCUGUAAGCGUUGUAUUAAGGGUGUUGUGGGACUUACAGAGUAAGUUACAGCUUACUGAAUCAGUUACAAAGGUGUUUGUUAGUUGAAUACAACUGGGAAGUUGAGCCAUAGAGUGUGAUAGCCACUUAAACGAAAACAAAUACUCUGAUGUAAGAAUCCCGAGUAAGGCGGGGCACGUGAAACCCUGUCUGAAUCCACCGGGACCAUCCGGUAAGGCUAAAUACUAGUCAGUGACCGAUAGUGAACGAGUACAGUGAUGGAAAGGCGAAAAGAACAGUGAGAAGCUGAGUGAAAUAGACCCUAAAACCGUUAGCUUACAAUCAGUUAGAGCCCUAUUGAUAGGGUGAUAGCGUGCCUGUUGAAGAAUGAGCCGGCGAGUUAUUUUAUGUUGCAAGGUUAAGGAGUUAAUAUCCGGAGCCACAGCGAAAGCGAGUUUGAAUAGAGCGUUAAGUAACAUGAAAUAGACCCGAACCUUGGCGAUCUAACCAUGACCAGGAUGAAGCGUAGGUAACACUACGUGGAGGUCCGAACCAACCGAUGUUGAAAAAUCGGUGGAUGAGUUGUGGUUAGGGGUGAAAUGCCAAUCGAGCCAAGAGCUAGCUGGUUCUCCCCGAAAUGCGUUUAGGCACAGCGUUGGACUUAUCUUACCGGAGGUAGAGCACUAGUCUGGUGCGGGCGGCGAAAUGCCGUACCAAAUCAUGUUAAACUCCGAAUACCGGUAAAGUUACUAUCCAGCAGUGAGGCUGCGAGUGCUAAGAUCCGUGGCCAAGAGGGAAACAGCCCAGAACGCCAGUUAAGGUCCCAAAUAUAUGCUAAGUGGUUAAGGAGGUAGAGUUGCUCAGACAACUAGGAGGUUGGCUUAGAAGCAGCCAUCCCUUGAAAGAGUGCGUAAUAGCUCACUAGUCAAGCGACUCCGCGCCGAAAAUACACCGGGACUCAAGCAUAUAACCGAAACUGCGUCAUAUAACUUGUUAUAUGGGUAGGGGAGCGUUCUGUUGUAGGACGAAGUAAGAUCGAAAGGACUUAUGGACGAAGCAGAAGUGAGAAUGUCGGCAUAAGUAGCGAAAACAUUGGUGAGAAUCCAAUGCACCGUAAACCUAAGGUUUCCCACGGCAGGCUCGUCCGCGUGGGGUUAGUCGGACCCUAAGCUGAGGCCGAAAGGCGUAGGCGAUGGACAUCAGGUUGAUAUUCCUGAACUAUCGAUUAAUCGUUAUCAGAGGCGGAGGGACGCAGGAGGAUAGACAAGCAGCCGAAUGGAAGUGGCUGUAAAGACGUGUAGGUAGAGUUUGUAGGAAAAUCCGCAAAUUCGUUAUAAACUGAGGCGUCGAGUAGGACUCUCUACGGAGGGGAAGUUGUUGAAUCCACACUGCCAAGAAAAACUUCGCACUCGAGAUUAAUAGGUAUCCGUACCGGAAACCGCCACAGGUAGGUUGGUAGAGAAUACUAAGGUGCGCGAGACAACUCUCGCUAAGGAACUCGGCAAAAUCACCUCGUAACUUCGGGAGAAGAGGUACCCUGGUAGCGUGAAGCGAUUUACUCGUGAAGCGUGAUAGGGUCGCAGUGAAUAGGCCCAAGCGACUGUUUACCAAAAACACAGGUCUAUGCUAAAUCGAAAGAUGACGUAUAUGGGCUGACGCCUGCCCGGUGCCGGAAGGUUAAGAGGAGAUGUCAACCGCAAGGUGAAGCAUUGAAUUGAAGCCCCGGUAAACGGCGGCCGUAACUAUAACGGUCCUAAGGUAGCGAAAUUCCUUGUCGGGU